CCUCCCUACGGGACGCAGCAGUGGGGAAUAUUGGGCAAUGGGCGCAAGCCUGACCCAGCAACGCCGCGUGAAGGAAGAAGGCUGUCGGGUUGUAAACUUCUUUUCUGAGGGACGAUAGUGACGGUACCUCAGGAAUAAGCCACGGCUAACUACGUGCCAGCAGCCGCGGUAAUACGUAGGUGGCAAGCGUUAUCCGGAUUUACUGGGUGUAACGGGCGUGUAGGCGGGAUGGUAAGUCAGAUGUGAAAACUAUGGGCUCCACCCA
This 265-nucleotide ribosomal RNA is filed under the name uncultured bacterium. RNAcentral's name for it is "partial 16S ribosomal RNA". It matches the Rfam family "Bacterial small subunit ribosomal RNA", at positions 334 to 616 of the family's 1533-position model. The record is from RNAcentral.